This 243-nucleotide long non-coding RNA is filed under the name Zostera marina. RNAcentral's name for it is "long non-coding RNA (ZMAR_LNC002246)". Lineage: Eukaryota; Viridiplantae; Streptophyta; Magnoliopsida; Alismatales; Zosteraceae. The record is from RNAcentral.
CAGUAUCUUACAAGUAUAUCCCGAGUAUAUUACAAAUAAUCUCCCCCCUUUACACUUCACCCCUAGGGGUAUUUAUACAAUUUCCUACCGGACCCUGCACUUUCGGACUAGGAUCCGACCUAACGGACCCGACAUACUUGGGGUGCAACCUUUGGAGAGUUAACCGCUCGGGCUGACGGGUCCGCCCGGUCGGCCUGGUCAGGCGAGUGCCCGUGAGGCGACUUGGGCCUUCCUCUUUCGUUC